RNAcentral lists this ribosomal RNA (253 nucleotides) under uncultured prokaryote. RNAcentral describes it as "partial 16S ribosomal RNA". It matches the Rfam family "Bacterial small subunit ribosomal RNA", at positions 524 to 776 of the family's 1533-position model. The record is from RNAcentral.
UACGGAGGGUGCAAGCGUUGUUCGGAAUUAUUGGGCGUAAAGGGCGCGUAGGCGGUAAUGUAAGUCAGAUGUGAAAUACUCCGGCUCAACCAGAGAACAGCAUCUGAAACUGCAUAACUAGAGUACAGAAGAGGGAAACGGAAUUCCCGGUGUAGAGGUGAAAUUCGUAGAUAUCCGGAGGAACACCAGUGGCGAAAGCGGCCUCCUGGCCCAUUUCUGACGCUCAGACACGAAAGCUAAGGUAGCAAACGGG